This 253-nucleotide ribosomal RNA is filed under the name uncultured bacterium. RNAcentral describes it as "partial 16S ribosomal RNA". It matches the Rfam family "Bacterial small subunit ribosomal RNA", at positions 524 to 776 of the family's 1533-position model. The record is from RNAcentral.
UACAGAGGUCCCAAGCGUUGUUCGGAUUCAUUGGGCGUAAAGGGUGCGUAGGCGGCGCGGUAAGUCGGGUGUGAAAUCUCGGAGCUUAACUCCGAAACUGCAUUCGAUACUGCCGUGCUUGAGGACUGGAGAGGAGACUGGAAUUUACGGUGUAGCGGUGAAAUGCGUGGAUAUCGUAAGGAAGACCAGUGGCGAAGGCGGGUCUCUGGACAGUUCCUGACGCUGAGGCACGAAGGCCAGGGGAGCAAACGGG